GAUGAACGCUGGCGGCGUGCUUAAUACAUGCAAGUCGAGCGAACAGAUGAGGAGCUUGCUCUCCUGACGAUAGCGGCGCACGGGUGAGUAACAUGUGUAUAACCCACCUAAAUAACGGGGAACACCUUGGGAAACGGUAGCUUAUACCCGCUAAUAUACUAAACCACAUUGGUCGAUAGCUAAAUGCGGUUUUUCUGUAUCUUAUCGAUGGUUCCGGGCCGCAUUAGUUAGUUGGGAGGGUAACGGCUUACGCAGGCAAGGAUUCGUAUACGACUGCCGAGGGGGAUAGUCACCCCUGGAACUGGAACACGGUCCAGACUCCUACGGGAGGCACCAGUGGGGAAUCUUCCGCAACGGGGGAAAGCCUGACGGAGCAACGCCGCGUGAGUGAUGAAGGUCUUCGGAUCGUAAAGCUCUGUUAGUAGGGAAGAACAAAUGUGUACGUAAAUAUGCACGUCUUGACGGUACCUAAUCAGAAAGCACCGGCUAACUACGUG
RNAcentral lists this ribosomal RNA (497 nucleotides) under uncultured bacterium. RNAcentral describes it as "partial 16S ribosomal RNA". It matches the Rfam family "Bacterial small subunit ribosomal RNA", at positions 28 to 507 of the family's 1533-position model. The record is from RNAcentral.